This 546-nucleotide ribosomal RNA is filed under the name Staphylococcus pseudintermedius. Its description in RNAcentral is "partial 23S ribosomal RNA". It matches the Rfam family "Bacterial large subunit ribosomal RNA", at positions 976 to 1525 of the family's 2925-position model. The record is from RNAcentral. Lineage: Bacteria; Bacillati; Bacillota; Bacilli; Caryophanales; Staphylococcaceae.
CUUGGGAGUCAGAAUGUGGGUGAUAAGGUCCAUAUUCGAAAGGGAAACAGCCCAGACCACCAGCUAAGGUCCCAAAAUAUAUGUUAAGUGGAAAAGGAUGUGGCGUUGCCCAGACAACUAGGAUGUUGGCUUAGAAGCAGCCAUCAUUUAAAGAGUGCGUAAUAGCUCACUAGUCGAGUGACACUGCGCCGAAAAUGUACCGGGGCUAAACAUAUUACCGAAGCUGUGGAUUGUCCUUUGGACAAUGGUAGGAGAGCGUUCUAAGGGCGUUGAAGCAUGAUCGCAAGGACAUGUGGAGCGCUUAGAAGUGAGAAUGCCGGUGUGAGUAGCGAAAGACGGGUGAGAAUCCCGUCCACCGAUUGACUAAGGUUUCCAGAGGAAGGCUCGUCCGCUCUGGGUUAGUCGGGUCCUAAGCUGAGGCCGACAGGCGUAGGCGAUGGAUAACAGGUUGAUAUUCCUGUACCACCAUUAUUCGUUUUAAGCGAUGGGGGGACGCAGUAGGAUAGGCGAAGCGUGCUGUUGGAGUGCACGUCCAAGCAGUGAGAU